UACAGAGGUCCCAAGCGUUGUUCGGAUUCACUGGGCGUAAAGGGUGCGUAGGCGGCGGGGUAAGUUUGAUGUGAAAUCUCCGGGCUCAACCCGGAAACUGCAUUGAAUACUAUUCUGCUGGAGGUUUGGAGGGGGGACUGGAAUUCUCGGUGUAGCAGUGAAAUGCGUAGAUAUGGAGAGGAACACCAGUGGCGAAGGCGAGUCCCUGGACAACACCUGACGCUGAGGCACGAAAGCUAGGGGAGCAAACAGG
This 253-nucleotide ribosomal RNA is filed under the name uncultured bacterium. Its description in RNAcentral is "partial 16S ribosomal RNA". It matches the Rfam family "Bacterial small subunit ribosomal RNA", at positions 524 to 776 of the family's 1533-position model. The record is from RNAcentral.